RNAcentral lists this ribosomal RNA (474 nucleotides) under uncultured bacterium. Its description in RNAcentral is "SSU rRNA". It matches the Rfam family "Bacterial small subunit ribosomal RNA", at positions 26 to 518 of the family's 1533-position model. The record is from RNAcentral.
AGGACGAACGCUGGCGGCGUACUUAACACAUGCAAGUCGAGCGGAAAGGCCCUUCGGGGUACUCGAGCGGCGAACGGGUGAGUAACACGUGAGUAAUCUGCCCCUAGCUCUGGGAUAGCUCCGGGAAACCGGGAUUAAUACUGGAUACGACCACCUUAGACAUCUUUUGUGGUGGAAAGAAUUUCGGCUAGGGAUGAGCUCGCGGCCUAUCAGCUUGUUGGUGGGGUAACGGCCUACCAAGGCGACGACGGGUAGCCGGCCUGAGAGGGCGACCGGCCACACUGGGACUGAGACACGGCCCAGACUCCUACGGGAGGCAGCAGUGGGGAAUAUUGCGCAAUGGGCGAAAGCCUGACGCAGCGACGCCGCGUGGGGGAUGAAGGCCUUCGGGUUGUAAACCCCUUUCAGCAGGGACGAAGCGAAAGUGACGGUACCUGCAGAAGAAGCGCCGGCUAACUACGCGCCAGCAGCCGC